AGCAGUCGCCCGGUAAUACGAAGGGUGCAAGCGUUAAUCGGAAUUACUGGGCGUAAAGCGUGCGUAGGCGGUUUGUUAAGUCUGCUGUGAAAUCCCCGGGCUCAACCUGGGAAUGGCAGUGGAUACUGGCAAGCUAGAGUGUGUCAGAGGAUGGUGGAAUUCCCGGUGUAGCGGUGAAAUGCGUAGAGAUCGGGAGGAACAUCAGUGGCGAAGGCGGCCAUCUGGGACAACACUGACGCUGAGGCACGAAAGCGUGGGGAGCAAACAGGAUUAGAUACCCCGGUAGUCCCUGUCUCUUAUACA
Molecule: ribosomal RNA, 303 nt
Filed under: uncultured bacterium
Lineage: Bacteria
Description: partial 16S ribosomal RNA
Rfam family: Bacterial small subunit ribosomal RNA
Source: RNAcentral